Small nuclear RNA from Mesoplodon densirostris (Blainville's beaked whale), 104 nucleotides. The record is from RefSeq and is a predicted model, not a curated record. Lineage: Eukaryota; Metazoa; Chordata; Mammalia; Artiodactyla; Ziphiidae.
AUGCCCGCUACAGCAGCAUGUAUACUAAAAUUGGAACAAUACAGAGAUUAGCAUGGCCCCUGCACAAGGAUGACAUGCAAAUUCAUGAAGCGUUCCAUAUAUUU